RNAcentral lists this non-coding RNA (98 nucleotides) under Arthrobacter saudimassiliensis. Its description in RNAcentral is "SAM". It matches the Rfam family "SAM riboswitch aptamer (S box leader)". From Rfam's summary of the family: The SAM riboswitch is found upstream of a number of genes which code for proteins involved in methionine or cysteine biosynthesis in Gram-positive bacteria. The SAM riboswitch acts at the level of transcription termination control. The predicted structure consists of a complex stem-loop region followed by a single stem loop terminator region. The record is from RNAcentral. Lineage: Bacteria; Bacillati; Actinomycetota; Actinomycetes; Micrococcales; Micrococcaceae.
UAACCAUCCCGAGCGGCUGAGAGACCUGGCUCGCUGACGCCGCAGCAACCCCUUCACCGGCCGGUGAAGCACGGUGCUAAUGCCAGGACCGAUGGAGA